RNAcentral lists this unclassified non-coding RNA (605 nucleotides) under Leishmania donovani. RNAcentral's name for it is "gene:unknown". The record is from RNAcentral. Lineage: Eukaryota; Euglenozoa; Kinetoplastea; Trypanosomatida; Trypanosomatidae.
UAUGGCAAUCCGCAUCACUAACGUGCAAAACAAGCUGAGCGUGAAAAAACAACAUGCAGGCACGGCUGCACGAGAGGCGCGACAUCUUUGGCUUUCUCUCUACCUCUGUGCAGCCCCCUCAGCAGCAGACGACCAGCGGAACUCGCACACACGCACCCUACCCAUACCUUUCCUUCCGUUGUCUUCGAGGAGAGCGAGAAACAGCGGCGGCGGUAGAGAGAGCGCCGUGAGGGGCUCUGACGUUGACGAAGGACACGGGGAUAGCAAGACCACCUGCUCGUUUCUGCCAGCGCGUGAUGAGCCACAGGGGAGACUCUUUGCCACCGUCAUGGGUGGAGGCUGCCCCGUCGAAUUCGUUGCGGAUGCCCACAUGUGCUCGGAAGAGAGGAGGAGGAGGAGGCGGAGGUAACCGACCUCCUCUCACCCAGCAGCGACUCAGUCUUCAUGGAUGUCAGACUCAACUCGUUCUCACACGCAACGCGUUUCGUUCACCCAGAUCCUCCCUCCUCGAAGUUUUGCGCUUGCCGAGCGGGCGAGCAUCUGUUGAGGCGACACAAAAGACAUAAUCCUUUUCCUUUGGUUUCUCGUGUUUUGUGUUUCCAAAG